This 274-nucleotide ribosomal RNA is filed under the name uncultured bacterium. Its description in RNAcentral is "partial 16S ribosomal RNA". It matches the Rfam family "Bacterial small subunit ribosomal RNA", at positions 523 to 796 of the family's 1533-position model. The record is from RNAcentral.
AUACGGAGGGGGCAAGCGUUGUUCGGAAUCAUUGGGCGUAAAGGGCGCGUAGGCGGCCACAUAAGUCGGUUGUGAAAUCCCUUGGCUCAACCAAGGAACUGCAGCCGAAACUACAUGGCUAGAGUCCGGGAGAGGGUAGUGGAAUUCCCAGUGUAGCGGUGAAAUGCGUAGAUAUUGGGAGGAACACCAGUGGCGAAGGCGGCUACCUGGACCGGUACUGACGCUGAGGCGCGAAAGCUAGGGGAGCAAACAGGAUUAGAUACCCCGGUAGUCC